UACGGAGGGAGCUAGCGUUAUUCGGAAUUACUGGGCGUAAAGCGCACGUAGGCGGCUUUGUAAGUUAGAGGUGAAAGCCUGGAGCUCAACUCCAGAACUGCCUUUAAGACUGCAUCGCUUGAAUCCUGGAGAGGUGAGUGGAAUUCCGAGUGUAGAGGUGAAAUUCGUAGAUAUCGGGAGGAACACCAGUGGCGAAGGCGGCGAUCUGGGCAGAUACUGACGCUGAGGUGCGAAAGCGUGGGGAGCAAACAGG
This 253-nucleotide ribosomal RNA is filed under the name uncultured bacterium. RNAcentral describes it as "partial 16S ribosomal RNA". It matches the Rfam family "Bacterial small subunit ribosomal RNA", at positions 524 to 776 of the family's 1533-position model. The record is from RNAcentral.